AAACCAACAGGGAUUGCCUCAGUAACGGCGAGUGAAGCGGCAAAAGCUCAAAUUUGAAAUCUAGCACUUUCAGUGUUCGAGUUGUAAUUUGAAGAAGGUAACUUUGGUUUUGGCUCUUGUCUAUGUUCCUUGGAACAGGACGUCACAGAGGGUGAGAAUCCCGUGCGAUGAGAUGCCCAAUUCCAUGUAAAGUGCUUUCGAAGAGUCGAGUUGUUUGGGAAUGCAGCUCUAAGUGGGUGGUAAAUUCCAUCUAAAGCUAAAUAUUGGCGAGAGACCGAUAGCGAACAAGUACAGUGAUGGAAAGAUGAAAAGAACUUUGAAAAGAGAGUGAAAAAGUACGUGAAAUUGUUGAAAGGGAAGGGCUUGAGAUCAGACUUGGUAUUUUGCGUUCCCUUCCUUUUUGGUUGGGUUCCUCGCAGUUUACUGGGCCAGCAUCGGUUUGGAUGGUAGGAUAAUGACAUUGGAAUGUAGCUUUACUUCGGUGAAGUGUUAUAGACUUUGUUGAUACUGCCUAUCUAGACCGAGGACUGCGUCUUGACUAGG
Molecule: ribosomal RNA, 543 nt
Filed under: Dujonia zeylanoides
Lineage: Eukaryota; Fungi; Ascomycota; Pichiomycetes; Serinales; Debaryomycetaceae
Description: eukaryotic LSU rRNA
Rfam family: Eukaryotic large subunit ribosomal RNA
Source: RNAcentral